This is a long non-coding RNA of Mus musculus (house mouse), 168 nucleotides long. RefSeq annotates it as predicted gene, 54301. The transcript has 4 exons. NCBI's taxonomy places the organism in Eukaryota, Metazoa, Chordata, Mammalia, Rodentia, Muridae. The record is from RefSeq and is a predicted model, not a curated record.
UGAUCUCGAGAGCUCAGAAAGACACAGAGACAGUGGAGUACAUGUGGCACUGUGGCUCAGGGAUGCAAUGUGAUCAGCGGUUCCAGCUUUUGUUCCACUAAGUUCUUUGUCAUGAUUCACAGGACCCUGGUACUAGCUGAGGACCGAACCCAGGGCCUUGCGCUUGCU